GUAGGUGGCAAGCGUUGUCCGGAAUUAUUGGGCGUAAAGCGCGCGCAGGCGGUUCUUUAAGUCUGAUGUGAAAGCCCACGGCUCAACCGUGGAGGGUCAUUGGAAACUGGAGAACUUGAGUACAGAAGAGGAAAGCGGAAUUCCACGUGUAGCGGUGAAAUGCGUAGAGAUGUGGAGGAACACCAGUGGCGAAGGCGGCUUUCUGGUCUGUAACUGACGCUGAGGCGCGAAAGCGUGGGGAGCAAACAGGAUUAGAUACCCUGGUAGCCCACGCCGUAAACGAUGAGUGCUAAGUGUUAGGGGGGUUUUCCGCCCCCCUUAGUGCUGCAGCUAACGCAUUAAGCACUCCGCCUGGGAGUACGGCCGCAAGGCUG
RNAcentral lists this ribosomal RNA (374 nucleotides) under uncultured organism. RNAcentral describes it as "partial 16S ribosomal RNA". It matches the Rfam family "Bacterial small subunit ribosomal RNA", at positions 527 to 896 of the family's 1533-position model. The record is from RNAcentral.